AAAUGAAUAGACGGGGACCCGCACAAGCAGUGGAGUAUGUUGAUUAAUUCGACGCAACGCGAAGAACCUUACCAGGGUUUGACAUCUAGCGAAUCCUGUGGAAACACGGGAGUGCCCUUCGGGGAGCGCUAAGACAGGUGGUGCAUGGUUGUCGUCAGCUCGUGUCGUGAGAUGUUGGGUUAAGUCCCGCAACGAGCGCAACCCCUAUUGUUAGUUGCUACGCAAGAGCACUCUAGCGAGACUGCCGUUGACAAAACGGAGGAAGGUGGGGACGACGUCAAAUCAUCAUGCCCUUUAUAUCCUGGGCUUCAAACGUACUACAAUGGUGGCCAUACAGCGCGAGGCAAAGUAGUGAUACGGAGCGAAUCGCCAAAAGCCAUCUCAGUUCGGAUUGCAGGCUGCAACUCGCCUGCAUGAAGUAGGAAUUGCUAGUAAUCGCGGAUCAGAAUGCCGCGGUGAAUACGUUCCCGGGUCUUGUACACACCGCCCGU
This 491-nucleotide ribosomal RNA is filed under the name uncultured bacterium. RNAcentral describes it as "bacterial SSU rRNA". It matches the Rfam family "Bacterial small subunit ribosomal RNA", at positions 903 to 1397 of the family's 1533-position model. The record is from RNAcentral.